RNAcentral lists this ribosomal RNA (433 nucleotides) under uncultured bacterium. RNAcentral's name for it is "partial 16S ribosomal RNA". It matches the Rfam family "Bacterial small subunit ribosomal RNA", at positions 28 to 507 of the family's 1533-position model. The record is from RNAcentral.
GACGAACGCUGGCGGCAGGCCUAACACAUGCAAGUCGAGCGGACCUUUCGGGGUCAGCGGCGGACGGGUGAGUAACGCGUGGGAAUAUGCCCUUCUCUACGGAAUAGUCCUGGGAAACUGGGGGUAAUACCGUAUACGCUCUUUGGGGGAAAGAUUUAUCGGGGAAGGAUUAGCCCGCGUUGGAUUAGGUAGUUGGUGGGGUAAUGGCCUAUCAAGCCGACGAUCCAUAGCUGGGUUGAGAGGAAGAUCAGCCACACUGGGACUGGGACGCGGCCCAGACUCCUACGGGAGGCGGCAGUGGGGAAUCUUAGACAAUGGGGGCAACCCUGAUGUAGCCAUGCCGCGUGAGUGAUGAAGGCCUUAGAGUUGUAAAGCUCUUUCAGCUGGGAAGAUAAUGACGGUACCAGCAGAAGAAGCCCCGGCUAACUCCGUG